RNAcentral lists this ribosomal RNA (500 nucleotides) under uncultured bacterium. Its description in RNAcentral is "partial 16S ribosomal RNA". It matches the Rfam family "Bacterial small subunit ribosomal RNA", at positions 30 to 523 of the family's 1533-position model. The record is from RNAcentral.
AUUGAACGCUGGCGGAAUGCUUUACACAUGCAGGUCGAACGGCAGCACGGGGGCAACCCUGGUGGCGAGUGGCGAACGGGUGAGUAAUACAUCGGAACGUGCCCAGUCGUGGGGGAUAACGUAGCGAAAGUUACGCUAAUACCGCAUACGAUCUACGGACGAAAGCGGGGGACCGUAAGGCCUCGCGCGAUUGGAGCGGCCGAUGUCAGAUUAGGUAGUUGGUGAGGUAAAGGCUCACCAAGCCGACGAUCUGUAGCUGGUCUGAGAGGACGACCAGCCACACUGGGACUGAGACACGGCCCAGACUCCUACGGGAGGCAGCAGUGGGGAAUUUUGGACAAUGGGCGCAAGCCUGAUCCAGCCAUUCCGCGUGCAGGACGAAGGCCUUCGGGUUGUAAACUGCUUUUGUACGGAACGAAAAGGCUCUGGUUAAUACCUGGGGCUCAUGACGGUACCGUAAGAAUAAGCACCGGCUAACUACGUGCCAGCCGCCGCGGUAA